Non-coding RNA from Meleagris gallopavo (turkey), 542 nucleotides. The record is from RefSeq and is a predicted model, not a curated record. Lineage: Eukaryota; Metazoa; Chordata; Aves; Galliformes; Phasianidae.
GACUUUUCAAAAGGCUCAGCCUCAGUAACUUCAUAUUUAUAGAGCAUCGUCAGCUGUGAUGACAGUGAUCCACCCUGCAGUCACAUCUACUACAUGGAUGACAACUGUCUCUGCAAGGCUGAUUUCUCGGCUCCCUUCCUCCAUCCCUGUGCCUUCAGUGGUGAUUCUGUGCACUGAUGAAUAUGAAACUGGAACUUCUGCAUGCUGUAGCAAUAAGGCCAUUAGAAAUUCAGUUUACAGCCUGACCUCUGUUCUCUGAGGAGGAUCUAAAGGACUUAUUACCAGUUUGGUUGUGCUGCUUGCUAACGCUUGUGAGCAUGUAUGUACAAGAAAUUAUAUUAAAAUGAUAUAUUAAUCUAGUAAUAUAGUAGUCUUCCAUCUUUAGAAAGUUCUGAUAGAGAACCACUGGGGUAUAAGGGAAAAUGAAUUAUGAAAACUAGUGCUGAACAGAGAGAAGAGACUAUUGAAAACAGAACACUUUAAUUGACCAUUACAGCCUUCUUCAGCAUUUCAGUUUAGUUCAAGGGAAAGAAAAUAGAAAA